AUUCCAUGGUGACGACACUUUCUGAUCAAAUCUUUGAAUCUCUCCCAAGCAUCAUAGAGAGACUCAUUGUCAAGUUGAUAAAAACUAUUGAUCUCUCCCCUCAACUU
Cannabis sativa is the source of this 107-nucleotide small nucleolar RNA. Lineage: Eukaryota; Viridiplantae; Streptophyta; Magnoliopsida; Rosales; Cannabaceae. The record is from RefSeq and is a predicted model, not a curated record.